GACGAACGCUGGCGGCGUGCCUAAUACAUGCAAGUAGAACGCUGAAGAGAGGAGCUUGCUCUUCUUGGAUGAGUUGCGAACGGGUGAGUAACGCGUAGGUAACCUGCCUUGUAGCGGGGGAUAACUAUUGGAAACGAUAGCUAAUACCGCAUAACAAUAGAUGACACAUGUCAUUUAUUUGAAAGGGGCAAUUGCUCCACUACAAGAUGGACCUGCGUUGUAUUAGCUAGUAGGUGAGGUAAUGGCUCACCUAGGCGACGAUACAUAGCCGACCUGAGAGGGUGAUCGGCCACACUGGGACUGAGACACGGCCCAGACUCCUACGGGAGGCAGCAGUAGGGAAUCUUCGGCAAUGGGGGCAACCCUGACCGAGCAACGCCGCGUGAGUGAAGAAGGUUUUCGGAUCGUAAAGCUCUGUUGUAAGUCAAGAACGGGUGUGAGAGUGGAAAGUUCACACUGUGACGGUAGCUUACCAGAAAGGGACGGCUAACUACGUG
RNAcentral lists this ribosomal RNA (497 nucleotides) under uncultured bacterium. RNAcentral's name for it is "partial 16S ribosomal RNA". It matches the Rfam family "Bacterial small subunit ribosomal RNA", at positions 28 to 507 of the family's 1533-position model. The record is from RNAcentral.